UCGUGCCAGCCGCGUAAGGCGAGGGUGACGGUCCGAGGGCAGCCCGCCAGUACCGGGGCGUUUGUUGGAGGGUGAGGGGCUUACGGCCGCUGUGAGCCUUCUUCGUCUGCCUGUAGGUCCUGCAUUUAUGUAUUUGUGUUUCUUUCCCGGAGCCCUCAAGGUAUGCGCACGCUUUGCACGCCGCCUCCGGAGGCUAGGAGGUGCCCUUUGCUCCUGAGGCCAGUGAAGGAGAAACAGCAGUCUGAGGUGAGGCAGCAUUCAACAGAACCUCAUCAAAUGCUUUUAGAGACUUUUGAGAAGAACUGCUGUUGUGCUUGAAAAUUGAAUAUUACCUGCUGCAAAACUUUACUGUUGUUUGAAACUUGACUUUCCCAUUCUCCCCAUCUUCAUUUAAUAAUGAAGUGUUACAUUUAAAGAUACUGCUACCUUUUACCAUAGGUAGUUCCUCGAAAAACACAACAGUUCUUAAAUGCAUGUUUUUAUGAUUGCAGUAUGUGGCCGAGGAUGAAAACAAUAAUCUGAUUCCUUGCAUACUUUCAGUGAUACGCAAAAAUCUGAUGGAUUAAAGGAUUUUCUGAGGCCAAAACUAAUAUCCAUAUUUACUGAUUCUUUGUUUUUAAAUUAAGCUUUUUUUUUUAGCAUCUGGGCAGAGAAGGUUUCAGUAGCUCUAGGAGGAUUUUUCUCUAAAGUUAUUUGAAUAUAAACCUUUUAUUUGUCAACAGACCUCAACUAGAUUUUUGUUGCUGAAGAAUAUGUUGUUAUAACAGCACACAUCUAUAAAUAUUUUAAAGGACUUAAAGGAUGCUUGUUUUAGGCAAAUUUUUACUAUGAUUGAAACAAGAUGAGGAGAACAGUGAAUAUAUUCUGACUUCCAAAACAGUCUUUGCUCUCGGUAUAGUUGUUUUUAUACCAAUUCUGACUUUAAUACGUUGUAUUAAGGUGAGACAACCAUGAAACUGAGAAUGUAAGUCUUUGGAAUCAGUUGACAGCAUUGCACAUGAAAAUGAAAUCUUUGAUACAGAACAUAGAAUUGGAGCAUUUGAAAAAUAAGAAUUGUAAUUAAAAGUCAUAUUCUGCUUCCUCUCUUCAGUGAGCAUUUGUUGUAAUAGUCUUUCUUAGCAUCCAUCUACAAAAAAUAAACAUGCUGCUGAAACAA
Long non-coding RNA from Gymnogyps californianus (California condor), 1156 nucleotides. RefSeq lists it as uncharacterized. The transcript has 2 exons. Lineage: Eukaryota; Metazoa; Chordata; Aves; Accipitriformes; Cathartidae. The record is from RefSeq and is a predicted model, not a curated record.